GAGGGGGAGCCGAGACCCGCUGCGGCUUCAGCGGGGUCCGUUAUCGCGGCCCGGCAGGCGCUUCCCGCCCACGGGAUCGGUCGGGUUGGGAACGGCCGCUGAGGUCAUCGCAGGUCCGACCUGCGGGCGAGUGACGCUCCCUGGCACUCCUGUCACUGCGUGCCACGUCCGGGCGUUCCUUGGGCACCUCCAGGGAUGCUCUUGGACAAGCAGAAGCAGAAGAAUUUGACCUCAGUCACUGCACAGGCUACAGAGUGGCCCAGCUGGAGCUGGGGCUUCCAGAGAUCCUCCUACUCCCUCUCUCCUCACCACACAGAACUCCCUCAGCCAGUGUCUAGAGUUCCAUUGGUGCAGAUUUCCACAAGCUGUUAACAGAAUACCACAAUCCUUAAGUGAUGUAAGUGGAAAAAAAUGUGAGCUUCUUUCAAAUAACAAUUAAAGCUCUUCCCUCUUGAUAGUGUUCCUGGCUGUUCUGUGCCUUCCAGAGUCCUCUUUGCUCUCUAGUUUUUUUUCUUAAACUGCUGCUCAAAGUAUUUUCUCCUGUAACCCUCUCUCUCCUACUCUUCCUCAGUCUGCUUUACUUUCAAUUCCUUUUUCAGGACCCUGGGAUUAAAAUUUCAUUUUUAUGCUCCAAUAGUUUCUCAACCAGAAGAGACAGGAGAUCUUUAAAACGUGGAAUAAAGAUCCAAAACAGCCACA
RNAcentral lists this long non-coding RNA (699 nucleotides) under Manacus vitellinus (golden-collared manakin). Its description in RNAcentral is "lncRNA (ENSMVIG00005019646.1)". The record is from RNAcentral. Lineage: Eukaryota; Metazoa; Chordata; Aves; Passeriformes; Pipridae.